RNAcentral lists this long non-coding RNA (2841 nucleotides) under Zostera marina. Its description in RNAcentral is "long non-coding RNA (ZMAR_LNC004470)". Lineage: Eukaryota; Viridiplantae; Streptophyta; Magnoliopsida; Alismatales; Zosteraceae. The record is from RNAcentral.
GUGUGUUGGUUCCUGGAUCUUCACAAUUGCAGGUUUUCCCGUUAUUACUUCCAAUAACACAACCCCAAAGCUAUAGACGUCGCUUUUCUCAUUCAGUUGAUUUGUAAUAUAGUACCUACAUUUUUGAAAGUUUAUUUAAAUAUGUUUUUACCAAUUGAAUCUGCAUCUAAACUGAGUAAGUAGUACAUACUCGGGAUCAAGAUAUCCUGGAGUGCCCAUAACCAUGGUCGUCACAUGGGUGAUGUUGUCAUUUUGGAUGAUUUUAGAUAAACCAAAAUCUGAAAUUCGAGCUUCCAUGUUUUUAUUCAAUAGUAUAUUACUUGUUUUUACAUCUCUGUGAAUUAUAGCAGGUUUGCAACCCUUGUGGAGAUACUCUAAACCUUGUGCAGCAUCAACCACUAUUUGUAGUCUCUUUCUCCAAGACAACACUGAUGCUCUUCCUGCAGAUUUACCCAUGUAAGUACUAACUACUAAGUAGUAUAUAUAUAGGCUUUAUUUUACGAAUACGAAAACAAAGUUUCCUUGGUAUUUUUCUGAAAACAUUAAUAGUAAUUAGGGACCUGAGAGAUGGCUUUCAAGGGUUCCCUCUUCCAUGCAUUCAUAUACUAGUGCUACAUGAUCUUUAUCAUAGCAGUAGCCAACCAAUGGUACCAGGUUCCUAUGAUGGAUUCUUGUCAACAAUUGAGCCUGAAAUCAUGAAAACAAAAAGAAAUAGAAAAUUAGUUUGCAAUCAAAAGAAAAUGAAAAAUAAAACUGUGUAUAUACUGUAUAGGAAUAUAGCCACCUCAUUUUGGAAUUCUUUUGGACCCUGUGAUGAUAAUUUUGAUAGAACCUUAAUAGCAACUUCAUUUCCAUUAUCCAAUACCCCAUGGUAGACAAUUCCGAAUCCUCCCCUGCCAAGUUGUUUGCUAAAAUUAUGUGUUAUACUCACUAGUUCUUGAUAACUGAACUUUCUACUAUCGAACGUCAGUUCUGAAUCAUUCCUCUGGUUCAUCCAGUAUCCUGAAAACAAAAGAAAAAUCAAACUCAUGCUAAUUUAUAGUCUAAUACUAAUACCAUAUUUAUUGAAAAUUGAAUUACUUUAAUCCUUCGCUAAGAUCACAUAUAUAAUACCUUGUUUUUUCUUUCUCCGUGCAUAAAUUAGCACCAUCAAAAGCAGGAAAAAUGCUGAACAAAUAGAUGUAACUAUGAUGAUUACUGUUUUCGGUGAUUUUGCUGGUUUUUGGUAUUGAUCGAAACUGCAUUCAUUGAAUGAAAUAUAUAUAUAAGCAGUCUUUAUAUUUAAAUAUAAUAAAAGAAUUUACAAAAUAUGAAUAACCUCAAUGUUAGUAAACCCUUUUCUGAUUUUUCUAGAAGAGCUUUUGGAAUUGGUCCUUCCAGUCCACUGCCGGUCAAGUUCCUGCACCCAAUUAUUCCACCAAUUUAAAAAAUUUAUGAUUGCAUCGAUCUCAUGUGGUUUCUUAUACUAUUAUCACUACUUACACUCUUACAAGGAUUUAAGGUAUCUCAGGCUUGCAAGAAAAUUUGGUAUUUCUCCUCUCAAGUUAUUUACUGAUAAAUCCCUAGAAAUUUACAUAGGUAUUAUUAAUUAUAUAUGGAUUUAAUAUUGAAAUUAACAUAACAAAUUGAAUGAAUAAAACAAGCACCUACAGAUAUUCAAGUUGUGAUAGAUUUGCAAUAGAAUCUGCCAAUUUACCAUUUAAUUGGCUAAAUGAAAGAUUCCUGCACAAUAUGUAACUGAGAUUAGAUAUCCACAGAAAUAUUAUUUUCAAAGCAAUGUUUAAUAAGACUCACAAGGAGAUAAUUCGAGGUGGCUUGCCCACUACAGUUGCACACCUGAGGUCUUUCCAGAUUAAUUCGGAAGGAAUACAUGGAUCUCCCAUCCAAUUCUUCUUCACUUGGUAUUCAUAUUUGAUAUCAAAUAUGGCAUCAACUGAACUUCAAAAGAAAGAAAGCAUAAUAUGGAUUGACAAUAAAUAAAUACACAAGCCCCAAAAAUAUCAUAUUCCAGUACUUACCAUCUUGGCUAUUUGUAUCAUUUUCCCUGAUUGGUUUGGCUGCAUAAAUCUCAAGUGCAUUUAAGAUCGGUGGAAGAGUAGAACCAUUGACACUAUAAAUAGAGACCAUUAGUUUUUCAUAUCUUUUGGGUAUUUUAUUGGAUAUGGUUGUGAUGGACAGGUACUCAGGAGUAACAUUGGAACCGAUUAUUUCAUCGUUGAAUUUGACGUCGAAUAUUCUAGAAUUGUUUCCGCUUGAAGGUAGGAGUUCUGCGAAAUGAAGAAAAAUAUAAUAUUCUGCCGGCCCAACUCCAUAUUCUGUCCAUUUGAAGCUUGCUGUCCAAUUAAAGUCUAUUUUGGUACCACCAUCUUUGGGGAUUGCUGCAGUUUUCAUUAUUUCUGAAGGUACUUGGUAUCCUCCAUUUGUGUUUGUUAUAAUCUCAUUAUUUGUCUCUAUGUGACUCCAAAUGUACGGGUCGUACGGAACCCAUAAUCGAUCAUAUGAAUCAUCUGGGUACCUAAAAAUAGAGAGAAAGAAUUUGGUUAGACCCACCCUCACAGAAAUGCAGAAUUACUAAAUUCUGGUGCGGUUUGAAUUAAUAUUCAUAGUUAUUAGUAAAUAGACUGAUAAUAAUUAAUGUUUCACAUGCAGAACACCAAUUUUUGUCUGCUAAUAACUCUGAAUGUCACUUAUUUUGCAGAUUUGUGUGUAUCUCACCUUAUCUUUGAGGUUCUUUUGGCCUCUCCACAGUCCCGGGGAGUCUGUAAAAUCAAUGAAUUAAAAGUAUCGACUUCCUUAUACAGAAAAUGGCUCAGAGGUCUCAACUCAAGAGUAGAUAUGAAG